GGCAAUAAAAGAAUCUAAUACAACGACUCUUUAUAACCGUUGCAACAGCAUACCCUACUGCAACGGCUACAUUCUAAUGCAACGAUAUAUUUACAACCGUUGUGUUAGAGGGGUCUAAUGCGACGUUCAAUGAGGUAAAAAAAAAUAUUAAGUACGGAAUACUACAUAGGCAUCGUAUCUUUUAAUUAAUUUCCCUCCUUUAUUUUCCCCAUAUUUCAAAACCUAUUGGGUUAAUUUUGUGAGUUUAUUUUCUCUCUCUCCUCAUUUACUUCCAUCUUCUUUCUUUUCCUAAGUCGUCGUCCUACUCAAAAAAAAAAAAAAAAAAAAAAAAAAAAAAUCACCGUUGUCUCAACGCCGGUUGAAGCUCUGAAUACCGAGCUCGAAGGUUCAUCUACCUUUACUAAAGAUAACUACGAGGUGAAUUGAUAUAAAGUUGGCAAUUUGGAUAGCAAAUUAUUGAGCGAAUUGUUCCCCUCAACCUCAAUUUUCGUCACCAGAUUGUAUGUGAGCUUCGACUUAUCUCAACAAAGGAACUAGUAGUGGAAUGGUAGCAGCCAAUGCAACAACUAGGAGCUUACUAGGGGAAUGAAGCUACAGUUGUUACUCUUACAUUCAAUCUAUAGAAAUGCCAAGCCCAAAAAAAAGGUAACAUACUCACUAAUGCAGUUUAAAUAGCUUCAAUUCAUGAGAACACCCUUUAGAUGCAUUUUUUGGGAGUAAUGUGGUUUGGUUUUAGCUUGUUUUAAAAAUGAAUUUGAGUGUGUUUGUGUGUAUUUGUACACUAGAGAGAAAGUGGAAAGAAAUUUUGUAAGCCCCAAAAUGUAGUGAUAGGUUUAAAAUGUUCAUGGAAAUUAUUACUAUUACCGUAAUGGUCAUGAACUGGCCUUAAAUAAUUCUUGGAUUGUAUCAAGUCUAGAAACUACUCAUUUUAUCCUAUAGAAUGUGUCAUGGAGUAUUGAGUAUGUGUUGGUCUUUGUCGCAACUUGUGAUAUUGAGUCUAGCUCUCGAGCACUGAUCAAGCACUAUCUACUUAUUUGCAAAGACACUACUCAAACAGGACUGUAGUGGAGCUUGAAAUUGCAGUUCAUGGAGAAAUGAGAAUUACAGAACUACACCUUUGCAAACUAACAUUUAUUGGAAAAACCAAGCACUGACGCAACUACUAAAUAUUUAUAAGUAUUUGUCACCACAAAAGCUAAUGGUAAUGCUGUCAUGUUUCAUUAGAAGGAUUUUCCUUAAUCAUCCCCUGUAUGUCUGCAGGAUCAGAGAAAUUAUUCAUUCUUUUCUCAUUUUCCCCUGGCAUUAUGUUAUACCUCCAUUGAAGUGCACUCAAAGUUCUCCAUUAAAGCAGUUAUUGUGUGCAGGGAGGUGUUGCACACAAUUUAAAUCAUAGAAACUUAAAAAGACGAACUUAUAGUAACAAAAUAAAACACUUAUUUUGUAUGAAUUUAUACGGUUACAUUUAUAUUGAUUUCCCUUCCUCAAUAAUUUCCCUUACUCAUUUUUCUUUACAUUAAGGUUGUCAUUGCAGCUAGAGCCAAUGUUAAAGGUCACUUUUCAUCACAACAAAACCAUGGGACUACUGAUAUUUAAGAUAGACCCUAACCAUUUCUAUUAUGCAGGUUCUUUGUACCUCUUUAACCUCAAAAUUUUUGUGAUUUCUCUCUGAAAAAUUAUCAUACUAGAUAUCUAGGCUAUCUAGGCUAAUUGUAUAUCUAGCCAUGUAAGUAUGAUAAAUGAGAUUGAUUUUGUCUGUGUGAGAUUUGAACUUUUUUUUGUUAUAUGUGUGGAUGAAAUAGAAUACAUAACGCUUAGCUUUUGCUUGGGAGUUAGUUUUCAAUUGUUUAGAGUAGGUGUGUUUGCCUUAUCUUCUUAUGGUGUUUCUUGUCUGCAUUUAUAAUUCCUUGCCAAUUACAUCAUAAUUGUAGUGGCUUUAUAUUAAAGUAAGCUAAGUUUAACCUCUGGAGUGUCUAUUUUUAUUGAGUUGGAUAGGUUCCAAGAAGCUAAUCCUUGAAUAUUUUUGGUGAUUAUUCCUGAAUUUUUUAAACCAUCAAUUCCAAAGGAUGCGCAAUUAUAAAAAUGCGCAAUGGAGUUAGAGUUGAUUGUUUAUAAAAAUGCAAUGGUCAAUUAUAUGAUAGUAAGAAGCAGUUUAGCAGCUUGGAGGAUAUUGUAUAAUUCGGGUGAUGAAACGCUCUGAAGAGGAAGCUAACAACCCCAAAUCAUAAGUCAAAGAUUGGGUUCACUCGGGGCCCAAGCUCAUCUAUUAUCUUCUCAGAGGAAGGAAAUAAGAGUGAGAAACACCACAAUCAAGGAAAUUGAAGUUAAAUUCAAGUUGCUAUCUGAGGCUUAUGAUAUCGGGCUAUUUGCGAAUAUUCAUUUGUUGUAGUAGGCCUGAAUAUUACCUUCACGCUGAUGAAGUUGUUAGAUCUUGUUACAUUUCGACUAGGUUUAAGACAUGCAAGCAAAUGUAGUGCAAGUCUUCUCUGAUGUAAACAUAGGUGGAGAGCCAGGUAGAGGAAUUUUGGGCUUAGUUGAAGAUUUUUGAACUUGUAAUUUAGUUUUUCUAACAAUAUCAAAAUCAUGUUCCGACGAAUAAACAUGUAGUUUUAAGUGAUAUUUGAAUAUGUAACCUAAUUUUUCUGAGUGCGAAAUUGUAUAAAUAUACUCUUAAUUUUUAAAUUUCA
Long non-coding RNA from Chenopodium quinoa (quinoa), 2684 nucleotides. RefSeq lists it as uncharacterized. The transcript is spliced from 4 exons. Lineage: Eukaryota; Viridiplantae; Streptophyta; Magnoliopsida; Caryophyllales; Amaranthaceae. The record is from RefSeq and is a predicted model, not a curated record.